GUGCUCACUUUGGCAGCACAUAUACUAAAAUUGGAAUGAUAUAGAGAAGACUAGCAUGGCUCCUGCACAAGGAUGACAUGCAAAUUCAUGAAAAGGAGAAACAAAGU
Molecule: small nuclear RNA, 107 nt
Filed under: Canis lupus familiaris (dog)
Lineage: Eukaryota; Metazoa; Chordata; Mammalia; Carnivora; Canidae
Also listed under: 1 other name
Source: RNAcentral